This 498-nucleotide ribosomal RNA is filed under the name uncultured bacterium. Its description in RNAcentral is "partial 16S ribosomal RNA". It matches the Rfam family "Bacterial small subunit ribosomal RNA", at positions 28 to 523 of the family's 1533-position model. The record is from RNAcentral.
GAUGAACGCUAGCGGCAGGCCUAAUACAUGCAAGACGGACGGGAUUGUGGAGCUUGCUUCACAUGAGAGUGGCGCACGGGUGCGUAACACGUAUGUAACCUACUCUUGUCAGGGGGAUAGCCUCUCGAAAGAGAGAUUAAGACCGCAUAACAUUGUUUUGUGGCAUCACAGAACAAUCAAAUAUUUAUAGGACAAGGAUGGGCAUGCGGAACAUUAGCUAGUUGGUAAGGUAACGGCUUACCAAGGCUACGAUGCUUAGGGGAUCUGAGAGGAUGGCCCCCCACACUGGUACUAAGACACGGACCAGACUCCUACGGGAGGCAGCAGUAAGGAAUAUUGGUCAAUGGGCGGAAGCCUGAACCAGCCAUGCCGCGUGCAGGAAGACGGCCCUACGGGUUGUAAACUGCUUUUACAGGGGAAUAAACCUCGGUACGUGUACCGAGCUGAAUGUACUCUGAGAAUAAGGAUCGGCUAACUCCGUGCCAGCAGCCGCGGUAA